GGUGAUGCUGGACAGAACGACGAAGGGAACGGAGGGCAUGAAUGGAGGCACUGGAACGACGACGGCGGAACCCUCGCAGUGGUGGCCGUGGACUGGUGGCGACGGUGGCGUGGAGCACAGCUCCUCUUCCUGUUGCGCCUUUGCUCUCUCCUCUCUCUUAG
This is a non-coding RNA of Arachis ipaensis, 161 nucleotides long. The record is from RefSeq and is a predicted model, not a curated record. NCBI's taxonomy places the organism in Eukaryota, Viridiplantae, Streptophyta, Magnoliopsida, Fabales, Fabaceae.